This 74-nucleotide transfer RNA is filed under the name Vibrio alginolyticus. RNAcentral's name for it is "tRNA-Met". Lineage: Bacteria; Pseudomonadati; Pseudomonadota; Gammaproteobacteria; Vibrionales; Vibrionaceae. RNAcentral also lists the same sequence under 2 other names. The record is from RNAcentral.
GGAAUGAGUUGGAAAGAGUCAUAUCACGACUCAUAAUCGAUUGGUCCCCAGUUCAAGUCUGGGAGGGGCCACCA